UGGGGAAUAUUGGACAAUGGGCGAAAGCCUGAUCCAGCCAUGCCGCGUGUGUGAAGAAGGUCUUCGGAUUGUAAAGCACUUUAAGUUGGGAGGAAGGGCAGUAAGCGAAUACCUUGCUGUUUUGACGUUACCGACAGAAUAAGCACCGGCUAACUCUGUGCCAGCAGCCGCGGUAAUACAGAUGGUGCAAGCGUUAAUCGGAAUUACUGGGCGUAAAGCGCGCGUAGGUGGUUCGUUAAGUUGAAUGUGAAAGCCCCGGGCUCAACCUGGGAACUGCAUCCAAAACUGGCGAGCUAGAGUAGGGCAGAGGGUGGUGGAAUUUCCUGUGUAGCGGUGAAAUGCGUAGAUAUAGGAAGGAACACCAGUGGCGAAGGCGACCACCUGGGCUCAUACUGACACUGAGGUGCGAAAGCGUGGGGAGCAAACAGG
This 429-nucleotide ribosomal RNA is filed under the name Pseudomonadota bacterium. Its description in RNAcentral is "Proteobacteria bacterium partial 16S ribosomal RNA". It matches the Rfam family "Bacterial small subunit ribosomal RNA", at positions 355 to 776 of the family's 1533-position model. The record is from RNAcentral. Lineage: Bacteria; Pseudomonadati; Pseudomonadota.